GAAAAGCUCCCUGGCGAAAUCCAAGUCGUCCAUUGUGAUCAGUAAAAGGUCCAUUGCGCUUAGCUGAGUACCAGAUGACAUGAUGACAUCGCCAUAGAGCUAAUACUGUUAGAGUUGUAAUGGAUCCUAUACCUUAAAACUGGACAUAAUCAUGGCGUAGGCUACGCACAGCUCGUGACUAAAAGGCCAAGUAAAUUGCCAAGCAGCGACCGUUGACACUGGUGUCCUAAUCAACCCAUUAGAAAAAUCAAGUUAAGAAAGAUGUUUUCUUUUGUUUCGCUAAUUUGUUUACCCAAAACCGGCAAUGGCACCGUCGGAGCACGCCAAAUUGAGAAGCAUCCAAUUCAAGGGCGUCAUUUUCUUAGGGCCCCCAUUAGGUUGUUAGAAAAUUGAGCAGCGCAAUCAACAUGAUAAUUUAGUCCAUUUUGAUACUGUUCUGAUCCUAAUUUACUGUUGCUAUGUCAUUCUUAAAUACGCGACUUUCUAUAGCCACAGACCUCCACUUAAAGAAUCCAUGCAAAUUCAAACAUUCAGACUAUUGUGUGCUGUUGCGGGCACAGUGAACGUGGCUCUACCAGCCGAAUCCCCCUAACAAACGUGGUUUUACCAUCAUCAAAUUAAAGAUACGUAAUUGAUUCUAUCAAUUAUUCCCUACCAAUCCAAUAUACAUAUAAUGGGAUUCCCUAGGAUGCCAUUGUUAAUUACCUGCGGGUCAUUCAAGAUGAUGAUGAUGACUACAAUGUUCAUAAUCAAACCGAUGGCACUAAUGAAUAACAAAUAGGCGCCUGCUGACAAGUAAACCCAUUCGGGCAUGAGUAGACCUGUACUGCUAGCAGAGAUAUUUCCAGUUAUGACAGACCAUCCGCUACCGUUAAGUGCAAAACCACCGGCAUGCCCUUGCGUUCCAUUAUCCACUUCACCAAGAUACAAAGUCUCCGAAAUAUUUGGGGCCGAUCCAACACAUCCACAAAGAAAUAGGAAACAGAAACAUAAAAAUGCAGUAUCAUGUGUACUGAAAUUAGUCCUGAGAGUAUGAGCGUCUUUUAUACUUUGCGACGAGGGAUCUUCAGCGCAGAUGCGCAAGAUGUUCCUACCCCGUCAGUAGUGCGUUAUGUUUUUCUCAUUGGAAAUAUCUGUCGUUCGCAACUCCCAGAAAUUUUAGGAGGGACGGCUAAGCUGAAAUGAAAAAGACUUGAUUUAGGAACCAAUUUGAAAAGCGAACACGGGUAUCGAUCUCACAGGAAUGAAAAGAGGAUUAUAAAUUUUUGUAUGACCUAAGUUCAGAUUCAUUUGCCAUAUCUUAUGUUCUUAAUGCAAAUUUGUGAAAAAAUUAGGAAUAUUAGAAAGUUUAAACGCCGCUGAUGACGCAAGUUACCAGGCUAGACAAGUUUCAGGAACUUAUUCAGGAAACUAUAAGAAACGUAAACUUUCGGAUAACAUUAUUAUACGUACGUCCCAAUGUGUACUCUUAUCAUUAGCUAAUUUUUUCCCUCCUGUGCCAGUUGAAUUUAAUUUUCACGUAAAGUCUUUAAAUGAAGAAAAAUAGCCAGACAUGAUACUCGUAAUUACUCGUUCUUGAUACUAUGAAAACAAAAGUGACUGCCAACAAGUUCAUUCUGUUCCACGCAGUUAACUAGUCCUGGGUUAUUCGCCAUGUAGGAUCUGUCAAAAACAUCACUUGUCAAGUUUAAAUAACAAUAACAAGCAUAAAAAAAAUGUCAGCGAAG
This is a long non-coding RNA of Daphnia carinata, 1727 nucleotides long. RefSeq lists it as uncharacterized. The record is from RefSeq and is a predicted model, not a curated record. The transcript has 4 exons. Lineage: Eukaryota; Metazoa; Arthropoda; Branchiopoda; Diplostraca; Daphniidae.